AAUUUCUAAAAUGUUGAAAAAUAUGUCAUCUGGAUUCUGUGCAAAAAAUAUAAUCCCUUUUUCAUUUCUGCAUUUGCAAUUCCUGCAUUUUCUUUAUUCCUACAUUUUUUAAUUGGAAGGAAUUUCAUUCGCAGAGCCCUCUAAUUUAUUCUUACAAAUCAUGUAGUAAUGUACCAUUUUAGAUAGAUAUAAAUAACACAUUUUGUAAUUUUUCUAAACUGUGGUUAUACAGCAUGAUAUAAUAGCUACACAAGGUAUGGCGAAACAGUAUACAGCAAUAUCUGUCGCACUGUCUGAGAUGGGUGGUAGUCAUACAUAGCUUAAUGCUUAAAUUUGUUAUGUGUUAUUUAUUUAUUCAUGUUUUUUUUUUAAUUAUGUUAUAGCAGUUUAUUUCUUUCAUUCUUAGGUCUGGAAGUGAAAAAUUUGACUUUUCUACGCCAGAAGUUACAGCUAAUGUUCCUAAGACAAACCAGGCUUUCUUGAGUUCUGAUCUGGACAUUUCAGUUAUUGACUCUGACGUAGAAGGUAGAAAUACAAGCUCUCUUUUGAGGUGUAAAUUUUGUGCAUGAUUUGGCUUUCAUUGAGACGUCUCUGGGUAAGGAGUUACUAAGGAAGAGAAACUUACAUGCAGGUUGAAGCAUGCAGUGUCAAAUGUAUAAGGAAUAUAAAAGAUGCUGUAUAUUAGUAUAAGUUUGAAUAACCAUAAUAAAAAAAUUUCUUGAAAA
Molecule: long non-coding RNA, 725 nt
Organism: Stegodyphus dumicola
Lineage: Eukaryota; Metazoa; Arthropoda; Arachnida; Araneae; Eresidae
Source: RefSeq, a predicted model, not a curated record